RNAcentral lists this ribosomal RNA (492 nucleotides) under uncultured bacterium. RNAcentral's name for it is "partial 16S ribosomal RNA". It matches the Rfam family "Bacterial small subunit ribosomal RNA", at positions 29 to 507 of the family's 1533-position model. The record is from RNAcentral.
AGUGAACGCUGGCGGUAGGCCUAACACAUGCAAGUCGAACGGCAGCACAGUAAGAGCUUGCUCUUACGGGUGGCGAGUGGCGGACGGGUGAGGAAUACAUCGGAAUCUACUUUUUCGUGGGGGAUAACGUAGGGAAACUUACGCUAAUACCGCAUACGCCCUACGGGUGAAAGCAGGGGAUCUUCGCACCUUGCGCGAUUGAAUGAGCCGAUGUCGGAUUAGCUAGUUGGCGGGGUAAAGGCCCACCAAGGCGACGAUCCGUAGCUGGUCUGAGAGGAUGAUCAGCCACACUGGAACUGAGACACGGUCCAGACUCCUACGGGAGGCAGCAGUGGGGAAUAUUGGACAAUGGGCGCAAGCCUGAUCCAGCCAUACCGCGUGGGUGAAGAAGGCCUUCGGGUUGUAAAGCCCUUUUGUUGGGAAAGAAAAGCAGCAGGUUAAUACCCCGCUGUUCUGACGGUACCCAAAGAAUAAGCACCGGCUAACUUCGUG